RNAcentral lists this ribosomal RNA (274 nucleotides) under Bracon sp. Its description in RNAcentral is "partial 28S ribosomal RNA". It matches the Rfam family "Eukaryotic large subunit ribosomal RNA", at positions 548 to 787 of the family's 3401-position model. Lineage: Eukaryota; Metazoa; Arthropoda; Insecta; Hymenoptera; Braconidae. The record is from RNAcentral.
GCCGUCGUUGGUGCUAGCCAGCUGUUGGUUGUACGGAAUUNUAGGACUGGCUCGUUGAAAUACCGGUCAGCGAUGCUACUGCUUUGGGUACUUUCAGGACCCGUCUUGAAACACGGACCAAGGAGUCUAACAUGUACGCGAGUCAUUGGGAUUUUUAUAAAUUAAACCUAAAGGCGUAAUGAAAGUAAAGGUCGGCCUUGUGUCGAUUGAGGGAGGAUGGGCUAUGUUACGAGAUAGCUCCGCACUCCCGGGGCGUCUCAUUCUCAUGCGAGAA